RNAcentral lists this ribosomal RNA (253 nucleotides) under uncultured bacterium. RNAcentral describes it as "partial 16S ribosomal RNA". It matches the Rfam family "Bacterial small subunit ribosomal RNA", at positions 524 to 776 of the family's 1533-position model. The record is from RNAcentral.
UACGUAGGGGGCUAGCGUUGUCCGGAAUCAUUGGGCGUAAAGCGCGUGUAGGCGGUCCGGUAAGUCCGCUGUGAAAGUCGGGGGCUCAACCCUCGGAUGCCGGUGGAUACUGUGGGACUAGAGUACGGAAGAGGCGAGUGGAAUUCCUGGUGUAGCGGUGGAAUGCGCAGAUAUCAGGAGGAACACCAAUAGCGAAGGCAGCUCGCUGGGACGUUACUGACACUGAGGCGCGAAAGCGUGGGGAGCGAACAGG